AAUAUUUGUAGAUUUCGGUAUCGGUAUCACUCAUCGUCAUUUGGACUUCUCCCCUUUACCUCGGUUAGUUUCGCCGGGGUUUUU
This 84-nucleotide non-coding RNA is filed under the name Nostoc sp. PCC 7524. Its description in RNAcentral is "Photosynthesis regulatory RNA1". It matches the Rfam family "Photosynthesis regulatory RNA1". Rfam says of the family: Formerly known as Syr1 discovered in Synechocystis sp PCC 6803, is a regulatory factor controlling photosynthetic functions. PsrR1 interacts with the ribosome binding regions of several photosynthesis-related mRNAs. In particular, psaL mRNA is processed by RNase E only in the presence of PsrR1. Lineage: Bacteria; Bacillati; Cyanobacteriota; Cyanophyceae; Nostocales; Nostocaceae. The record is from Rfam by way of RNAcentral.